CGGAUAUCAGCGUUGCGGCUGGAGGCAGGGCUGGUCCUCAGCCUGCUGUCCACUGCCACCUUGGCCUGCUCUUGCGCCUCGAACUCUGUGCCGUCGUUCCCUUUCACCAUAUUUUGGGACGGCCGGCGCUAAGAAUUUAUGCUAUGACCUUCGAUUCAGCCAGGAGGUGACACCAAACUUGAUCAGAAACCAUGCCACAGGUGAAGAGGUAUAUUGAGCCCUGCCUGGCCAGUGAGGUUACUAGAGAAUUGGAAGAGGCUCAAGUCAGCAUCCUGCACAUGGUUAUCAAACCAUUGUGAAGUCUUAGUAAGUGUCACCUGGGAUACUUGUUAAAAAUGCAGAUUCUUGGGCAGCUAGAAACCUUGUCACUGGUCAAGAGCAACAAGUAACAAGACCUACUUGUCACUUAUCCUGAGGCAUCGUGCCCAGUGGGUUUACCAGCAAACCAGAAUGAAGCAUCGUUGCCCUGGAUGUCCUUGUGAGAUGGUUGGGAAGUCUUGGCUGAACUGUGGAGAAUAUCUUUGAAAAGUGUUUUAGAGAGUCUACCAGAUUUUCCAUGUGAGUGCCUGUGCAGCAGAAGAGUGGGUCUUCUCAGUGGUUAAGGUAACAAAGUGAUUAAGGGCCCUUAAGCCUGGUUUGUUUCCAUGGAAAAGAGCAUGACAAAAGACUGAGUGUCGACAUGUCCCUGGCAGCAGGCAUGAACUGUUGCCUCUGCUACUUCUCUGCUAGAUCAUCAUUUGGCCCAGCUGUAUUAUGGGAUCAUCUUCUGACUUCAUGGUGUCAUUGAAAGGCUUACGUGUGCUAGUGGAUGAAAAUAUUUCAAUGCUUCUCUCUGCCGUCUUUUUGCUGCCAUACACUGUGCUGGGUGAUGGGGAUAUGGAGAUGAAUUAAACAUGAUUCCUGCCCUCAAGGAGUUCUCAGCCUAGUGAGAGUUUGACAUGUACACAGAGAAUUACAACAGUAUGGUAUGCUCUACAAUGGAGGGUGUUCAUGAGGAUAUUGUAAAGUGUGUGUUAUAAGCACGCUAUAAAUUACAGCUAUCAUUGUUAGUUCUUGGGACAUUCACCGCAUGACAGAAACAACAGCAGGCCCUGGUGGCUGGGAGGACUUCAUGGAUCCAACAGCAACCUGAAGAAAUCCUACUCGGAUGGAUAUAAUACAACCUGCUAAGUGUCCUAGCACUUAUCAGGUUGUAUUAUCAUUGUCCGUGUCUAUGGCUCUCGUCUACCAGACUCUAAAUUCCUUACAGGCAAGGACAGUGCCUUAUUCAUCUUUGUAUUCGCAGUGCCUAAUCCGGUGCACAUUGUAGGCCUCAUUAAAUGUUUGUUGAAUGAAAAAAUGAAUCAUCAACAGACAUUAAUUGGGCGCCUGCUCUGUGAUCUCCAUGGGCUCAUCUUGUCCCCGCCAGUUGCCUACAACGUCCAAGCUGUCUUCAGUAUGCUUUCUUCUGAAGCUCACUCCUGUCUUCUAAUUCUUUUGCCAAGGACUUUUCUGUGUAGUGCAAAGACAGCAAAUAUACUUCAUCUCAAGAACCAUCUCCAGUUGAUUGAUAGUACCUGUCUUUAUUAUGUUCUAUAAAAACAGUUCUGAAGCCAGGUGUCAACUCAGUAUGAAAGAGGAUUAUAACUAAUUAGUGAUGUUUGCUGGGGGUGGGGGAAGGGGAUUAGCAGCAUACGUGCCAUAUAUAUGUCAUAUUUAAUAUUGUGUUUUCCAUGAAAUACUCUGUUUCCAUGCCUGUAUUUUAGUCUUGGCUACUUGCAGAUGUUGCAUUGCUGCCGCUGCCACCACUGCUGUUACUACACUACACUUGCUACGAGUUGUUCCUUGGGUAGGACCAGAGUGAUCAUUGAUCAGAAACUCAUCCUCACAGUCUGGGGUUUGCUCCUGUUGCUGGUAUUCACAGUUUUCCCCUUUCAACUUUACCUCAGCUAACCCCUUACCUACAUUAACAGGUAGGCCUUUAGUUUAUGUUCACCACUCAACAGGCUCAUAUUUCCUUUUUCUUAUUUACUGUGAUUAAUCAUUAUUGCUUCAUGAGAAGCCUUCUAUUAGAAGAUGUGACAACUAGAAUACACGUUAAACCAUUCCAUUAAGGCCCUACAGUGAAUCAUAUAAGCUCCCUUUUAAUAUAGGAGAAAAUUGAGCAUACUCACACACUAAAAGGCAAGGGAGAAGGGAGAUAUUGUACAUAUGGGAGAGAGAUGAUGACGUAUGGCUCUUAGAACAUAGGCAGAGGGCUAGCCUUAGAUCAAAGGAGUUACCUCUUUACUGGGGCAUAGUGAUAAGAAUAGGAAUUAGAAACAGUACUGAUAAGGGUGUUGGAGAUUUGUAAUUGUAGAGGUGGGUGAGAGGAAGCUGACCAGGGACAGGAUUACAGAAACAAGAGUCUUAAGAAAUAUCCAGGCCAUAUCAAAGUGAGCAACUAGUUUGAAACUUGAUUAGAGACUCAGGAAAAGAAAAGGUAAUCUUGGGCCAUUGUCACAAGUAGCAUUCGGUCGCCUAGAAUUGAUUUUGCUUGAUUGAGGGAUGGGGCUUUAGGGGCUUCUCAGGUGGCUCAGUGGUAAAGAAUCCGCCUGCCAGUGCAGGAGCCACAGGAGAUGCAGGUUCUAUCCCUGGGUCGAGAAGAUCCCCUGGAGGAGGGCAUGGCAACCCAUUCCAGUAUUCUUGCCUGGAAAAUUCCAUAGACAGAGUAGUCUGGUGGGCUACAGUCCAGAGGGUCACAAAGAGUCAGACAUGACUGAAUGAGCAUGAUUGAGGGAUGGACAGCUAGCAAGAGAAGAGUUACACACCAAUGGAUUUGAGGAUCCAGACUGUAUAUGGAAGGAAGGUCAGAGUCUACAUAGAAAAAGUGGCCUUAGUAUGAUCAAGAUGGGUGCUGAGUCUUUGGAAAAUGGUAUGAUAGGAUCUAUAUCAGAGACUGAACUUUGGAAUGGUAAAAUUUAAAAACUGGAGUGAUCAAGAUACCCGUGAUGCUAGGAUGUCAGAUGGUUGUUUACUUGGGUAUUGAAAUGACCCAGGAUUAUAGCAAAAGCCAGGUUAGGAAUGAACACUGAGGGCUAGAUAAAAUAGGUUUCAGUGACUGAAGAAUGAUCUAGGGGUUGGCACAUGACAACUGUGCAGGUGCAAGAGAAGAAAGGAUGCAGUGGGUGGAAAUUACUAGAAGAUGCAAAAACCGUUGUUUGCCCAUUGCACUGAGGUUUUGGCUGGCAGAAUGCACAUCUAAAAUGAUUCCCUUUUCUAUCAAGUGCUUAUUCUAUGCCUGACAUUUUGCUGUGUGCCAUAUGUUUCUCCCUUUUGGUCUGUCACAUAUCCUGUGUGAAAAUAAACAGCAAUCCCAGGCGAGGGUUAGGGUUAGACUGCUGGCCCUUAGCACUGGUGCAAUCCUGUUGCUGUCUCCUAACUCUUUGAAAGAGCAGAAGGCUGGUCAUCUGAAAGUGUCAGAAAAAGAUUUAGGAUCAAAAUUUCUCCUUGACCUUGAUGUAGCUUGAUUACAUGGUACAUGCUUUUGUUGGCUGUGUUCCAUAAUAUGCUUUGGCCUCUGAGCCUCUGAGUUGAGGAGUGAACUAGAACUGUCCUUUAAAAGAUAGGCACAGUUCCUAAAAAACACAUAUUAAUUCAGAACAAGACACAGUCCUAUUAUCUAAUUGAGCUUUUAAGGUAAAGAGUAGACAAAAGAAAGCCCACAUCAGUGGAUGAAUAACAAAACCACUUUGUAAAAGCCAUUUAGGGUCAGGAUACAUCCAGUUUAGUGGCCCUGUUGUAGAUGUUCCCUGUGUUGUUGGGAAGGAGGGCUGGAAAUUGAUGCAAAGAAAUAGCCCUUAGAACUUGGAAGGUAAAGUUUAGGGUGAGUCUCUGGGAGCCCUCUGACACCGCAUGCAGUCCUUUUUCUUUUGUUAUAGUCUUCAAACAAGUCAAUAUUCCAAUGAAGGUUUAGAGCCAGUGUGUUAGAGUGACCAGGCCUUCAGACAGCCUAUCCCCUCCUGUGGGGGCUGCGAUAUAUUUAUUCCUCAGGAGAAGCUGGUAGACUUCAUGAAGGAGAAGAAAAGGAAAAAAUUCAAAGGAUGACUACAGCCUCUCUUCAUCUCAGCUUUGCAAAGCAUGACUCAACAGAGAGAUCACAUUCUUGAAGACUCUCCAGACCACAGCCACCACAGACACUAACCACGGCCAGCAACUGGACCUCAGCCCCGGGAUUUACUCUUGAUGUCUCAACUGAUUAUGAAAUCAGUAGGAGAGCUUGUAUCCCUUUCUAACUUGCUCAUCAGAGAUUUUAAGAUUUGCAUACAUGUGGUAGAUUGAAGAUAAGUUGUUGUGCUGCACUAUUUCUGUUGCUACUCGUGCGGGUCACUACCAGCCUCUCUUCUCAGGAUUAAUGGGCCAGAAACCGUGGGCAGAAUGACUUCAGGCAACCCCAAACACCAGAUAUUGGCAUAAGAAAACAGUACAAUGAAAAGUCAAUACUUGGACCUUUGUCAUUCCACAAAGCAUGAUAUACUAUCUAAAACAAAAAAGAAGAGCUGCUUUGGAGAAGGGUUUUAAAAGAUUGUUUCAUCAGAAGAAAGAUUUAGAAGAGGGGAAACUUCCAGUUAUAUAAGAUGGGCAUUUUAGCUUUUAAAGACAUCUGUUCCCUGUGUAGGUCAUUGAGAUUGAUACCAGGAGCAGACUGUGGCUGCCAAAGCCAGUUUAACUAAGUGGUUUCAUGCUCCUAGAGAGAUGGUGUCACUCUCUUGUCUCUCACUUUGGCGGAUAUUCAUCUGCAAUGAGUCCAGUACCUGAAGGAGCAAGAGAACAACAAGUAUACAGGGGGACAACAGUAUGGCCUUCUGAGUGAAGAUAGCAGCGGAAAAUGUCAUGAGAUUGACUGCAUUGGGCUGGGCUUGUUCUUUUUAAAAAAAAAAAAAUUAGUCUUAUUUUUGAUGAUAAAAGUAACAGGUGGUCAUAGUUAAAAAAAUAAAGUGAAAGGUAUAAAUAAAAAAGUAAAGAAUAUAAUUUUACAACUCAAAAUCUUAACGCUUGCAUGUUUCCUUUUACAACUUUAAAAAAGUGUAACAGUUUAAAAUUGACAUUGUACUUGUUAAUCUCCAACUUGCUCAUUUGAAAAUAAAUAAGCAUUUUUCCAUGUCA
Bubalus bubalis (water buffalo) is the source of this 5124-nucleotide long non-coding RNA. RefSeq lists it as uncharacterized. The record is from RefSeq and is a predicted model, not a curated record. The transcript has 11 exons. Lineage: Eukaryota; Metazoa; Chordata; Mammalia; Artiodactyla; Bovidae.